Molecule: ribosomal RNA, 681 nt
Filed under: Paenarthrobacter nitroguajacolicus
Lineage: Bacteria; Bacillati; Actinomycetota; Actinomycetes; Micrococcales; Micrococcaceae
Description: bacterial SSU rRNA
Rfam family: Bacterial small subunit ribosomal RNA
Source: RNAcentral
CGAUGAUCCCAGCUUGCUGGGGGAUUAGUGGCGAACGGGUGAGUAACACGUGAGUAACCUGCCCUUGACUCUGGGAUAAGCCUGGGAAACUGGGUCUAAUACCGGAUACGACCAUCUGGCGCAUGUCAUGGUGGUGGAAAGCUUUUGUGGUUUUGGAUGGACUCGCGGCCUAUCAGCUUGUUGGUGGGGUAAUGGCCUACCAAGGCGACGACGGGUAGCCGGCCUGAGAGGGUGACCGGCCACACUGGGACUGAGACACGGCCCAGACUCCUACGGGAGGCAGCAGUGGGGAAUAUUGCACAAUGGGCGAAAGCCUGAUGCAGCGACGCCGCGUGAGGGAUGACGGCCUUCGGGUUGUAAACCUCUUUCAGUAGGGAAGAAGCGAAAGUGACGGUACCUGCAGAAGAAGCGCCGGCUAACUACGUGCCAGCAGCCGCGGUAAUACGUAGGGCGCAAGCGUUAUCCGGAAUUAUUGGGCGUAAAGAGCUCGUAGGCGGUUUGUCGCGUCUGCUGUGAAAGACCGGGGCUCAACUCCGGUUCUGCAGUGGGUACGGGCAGACUAGAGUGCAGUAGGGGAGACUGGAAUUCCUGGUGUAGCGGUGAAAUGCGCAGAUAUCAGGAGGAACACCGAUGGCGAAGGCAGGUCUCUGGGCUGUAACUGACGCUGAGGAGCGAAAGCAU